ACGCUCGACACCUACGUGAGGCAGCAGUGGGGAAUAUUGCACAAUGGGGGAAACCCUGAUGCAGCGACGCCGCGUGAGCGAAGAAGUAUUUCGGUAUGUAAAGCUCUAUCAGCAGGGAAGAAACUGACGGUACCUGACUAAGAAGCACCGGCUAAAUACGUGCCAGUAGCCGCGGUAAUCUGAGCGGGCUGGCAAGGC
Molecule: ribosomal RNA, 198 nt
Filed under: uncultured bacterium
Lineage: Bacteria
Description: partial 16S ribosomal RNA
Rfam family: Bacterial small subunit ribosomal RNA
Source: RNAcentral